GAAGAGUUAGUAUACAUAUUACCCGCCCUUGUCAAGAGCGAAAUAUAGGACUCCAGCCCUUUACUCUUCU
RNAcentral lists this transfer RNA (70 nucleotides) under Mecistops cataphractus (African slender-snouted crocodile). RNAcentral's name for it is "tRNA-Asp". The record is from RNAcentral. Lineage: Eukaryota; Metazoa; Chordata; Crocodylia; Crocodylidae.